This 12079-nucleotide long non-coding RNA is filed under the name Marmota monax (woodchuck). Lineage: Eukaryota; Metazoa; Chordata; Mammalia; Rodentia; Sciuridae. The record is from RNAcentral.
CCGUCUCCAUGGCGCCCGGCAAACAUUUCUGAGCUUCGGCGCUACCCGCUAACGCCCGGGGUUGGGGAACAGGGGCUCCAGAAGCAGCCUGGAAAGGGGUGGUCGACAACUCCCAAGCCCGUCGCCACCAUGCCCGUUUCUCCGACAAACAGCCGCAAGCAGCCAAACCUCUCGCCGUAAGUUCCGGCGCGAAAACCCGUAGUCAAUUCCCGUGGGCAGCCGAGGGAGCCCUUCUAGAUACUCUUCCUAGAUUUGGAAAGGGGUCAUUUUACUGCAUCUGGGUAUGGUCAACAGCCUGAAUCUCCCAGGCGGCAGUGGUUCCUUUUCUCGCUUGGAGCAGCCUUUUAAAAAUCAAUAGUGCUCUGCUUGCUCUGAGAAGACCUGGUUUUGUUUAGGACCACUUGUCCUAGUACUUAGAGUUUGGGGGCGCCCCGCCCCCCCCAAUCUACAUUCUAGUUUGAUGCUUCUAUGCUGUGCUCACAUGCUCAGGUUCAUCAGCUUCUGGAACCCCAGAUCAAACAUCGUUAUGCUUGAUACUAGAUGAUUUUGUUUUUUAACCACCCUGCCUUAAAAUUCUGCUGACUUAUCUCGCUUGUAACUUGAAACGGUUCCUUUGGGCUGCUCACUAAAUUCCACUGAAGUUCCCCAGUUUAUUUAUCUCUCUGGCACUUCCAGAUCACUUUUGUUCUCUCUUCACAAACCUUCAACAUCCCUUUCUCCAAUCUUCUUCAGCGCAAUUGAUCUUUUUUUCAUCGCAACUUGUUGAAAGUUCUUGGAAGAGAACCUCUGUUCACCUUUGAAUAUGGUACUCUGGCUUUUGUCCAUCCUACCACUCCACCAAAAAAGGCCUUUUUGUGAAAGUCAACAGUAGCCAUCCAGCCAAACACAGUAGCCAGUUUACACUUUUGUUCUUAACUGACCCAUUAGCAGCUCUGAUCUAAUUGAUCACUUCUUGAGUUUUGAAAUACUUCAUUUUGUUUUCGCUCUUCCCUAGAUGUUCCCCUGGUUCAUGGCUACUUCUUGUAAAAUACUUAACUGGGAUCUGCUCACCUGUCCCAUAACUGAACAUCAAGAGUGUUGCUGGGUCAUUCCUUAACCUGUUCUCUUCACUACUGCCUUAUGCCUUUUAAAAUCACUGAUAAGGGUAAUUCACAAGUUUUAGCUCUAUCCAAGACCUCCCAAGAAAAAGGAAACAUCUGCACUUAGAAAUUAUAAGACACCUCAAAAUUUAUAUUCAAAACCAAAAUCCUUCUUUUGCAAGUCUUUCCCAUUUUAGUAAAUGGUGAAUUCCACUUGGCAGUUUCUGAGGUGAAAAACUCUGGAGUACCUUGGACUUCUCUCUUAUACCCCAAUAAAUCAAUGAUUUUUACCUGCAAAAUACGUUGAGACUAGCAGUAUCAUAUAACUCAUUGUCACAUUAUGGUGCCUAAUCUUUUUCCCAGCACCCUCCAUAAAGUUUUUAUUGUGAUUUGUCUGCUAAAAACCUUCCUCAAGUUUUUUCAUAUUUUACUAGAGUAAAUGCUCACAUUCUUACAGGGUGUUACUUGGGUAUUUUACUCUCAGCAUGCUUUGUUACACAACACAUCAGGCACGUUAUUCGUAUUUGUGAUUGUCUACAUUUACCAUUCUUUGGAAUAUUGUGCUCCAAGAUAAUCUCUUUAACUCAUUUUUUUCCAGAUAUCACCAUCCAUAAAAUAAUACAUCCAGCAUUUUGAUCCCUCACCCUUUAUUUUUUCCAUAAAAUUUAUCCCUGUAGUUAUAUACCUGCUUAUUAAUUUGCCUUCACAAGUAAUGAAACUCAAUGAGGACAGAUUUUUGUUUUGUUCCCUGGUGUGUCUUUUAGCCUAAAGAACAUGCUUCGUAAAUAUUUAUUGAUUAAACAAAGGAAUGUGUAAAGAUGUACUUAAGUAAUUGGUUACUGUUCAUUUUGCUGGUUUUUGUUUCCACCUUUAGGUUUGAAAAUCUCAAAGUGAAUUUAGGUGAAUUAAAAGUCAUACAGCUCUCUAGUGGCUGAGAGUGUUAGGAAAAUUCCCUUGGGAAUUUCUUAAAUAAUGACAAAUUAAUAAUAAAUUAAUUAUUAAAGAAAGGAUGGGAUGGAAUGGGAAGCAGUGUAAUCUUUUUGAGGUAGCCGUAUUGCCAUAUUAUAUAAUUAAAAAAAAAAAAAGCUUCAAAGACACUAAAGUUUGAAACCUGUUGGCUUGACCUGAUGUAUUAUUUCUCCUCUUCCUCCUUUUAGGAUUUAAUCCUGAACUUGUAAAGAAUCUCUCAAAGCAUUUAUCAAUUUUCCACUUUCUCAAUUCAGUUUCUCCUGAAUUAGAUCCUUCCCAUUGGCUUAAUAAUAUUGGACAAAUCUCUCAUUGUGGAAAAAAUAACCACUGGCUCUUUCUUUAACACCUUUAUUUCAUUUCUAUGCCUAUUAGAUAUAAGAAGUGACAAACCCCAAGAUAGUGUGACCCUGGAAAAAGGAGUGAAAAAGAAAGCCAUAUACUGAUAGCAUUGAUCCUUUCACAAUACAUUCUUUCCCAGUGACAAAACAAGCCCUGGGGAGAAGGUGUCCAUCAAACCUGGAAUGACAGCUCCUGAGAAGAGACUUAAAUAUUGAUCUCUCCCAAAAUAAUUCCUUUCUAGAUGCUGGCCGCUGACCCUCCAACCCUCCAUCGUGCCCAGUAAAAACAAAUCCCAGAUGCUGACCGCUUACCCCAGACCCUACUUUGCCCAGUAAAAACAACAACAAAAAAUCAAAUUCCUGAGUGCCCAAACUGACAUGUUUAUUAAUUAAGUCACCUCUCAGUAUAACUUAUAUACUGGAGCUCAGAUUCCUCCUUUGGCCAGUGGCUUAUUUUCCAUCAGGAAAGUGGGUCUAUCAGUAGCGUCAUUCUGUGUUCCUGAAUAAAGGCUUUUGAUGAUCUGUGAAGUUUGCACCUGGCCUGCUCCUUUUGUGCUAACACUGCCUAGUUCCUUUAUUCUGAUUCCCUAUAUGUUCAUAUUUCCUUUCAAUUCUCUAUUAGUAUUUUCAUCUGUUUGCAUUGCCCAUUUGUCUUGGAUAUUAUUCACUUGUUAGAUUAGAUCCCUUACCAUAUUCAGGAAAGUUAUUUUAAAUCUGGUUGAACCGUUCUAAUAUUUCUGCUGUAUCUGAGUCUGGUUCUAAUGCUUAUUUUGUCUCUUCACACCAUUUUUUUUCCCUUUUGAUAUGCCUUACAAUUUUUUGUUGAAAAUAGAACAUAUUGUAUGGUGUAACAUGAACUGAGAUAAAUAGGCCUUCAGUGUGAGUUUUUAUUUUUGUGUGGCUAUGACUUUAUAUUUACUGUUUGUGGAAAGCUUUAGUUUCUUCUAGUGUUCUUGGUUUUAUCUCUUCUGUUUGUUUAAGUUUCCUUAGAGCCUCCUUCCUUUUAAGAUUAUACAUAACAGUCGAGUGUAUUUUGACAUACAUACAUGGAGUAUACUUUACAUUCUUUUGAUUAUACACGAUGUGGAGUUAAACUGUUCAUGUAUAUAUAUGAACGUGGAAAAGUUAUGUCUGAUUCAUUCUACUGUCUUUUUUUAUUCCCAUCCUCCCUCCCUCCCUUCCCUCAUUCACCUUUAUCUGAACCAGUAAACUUCUGUUCUUCUCUCCCUUGCCUCCAUGUUGUGUAUUAGUAUCUGCAUAUCAGAGAGAACAUUUGACCUUUGGUUUUUGGGGAUUGGCUUAUUUCACUUAAUGUGACAGUCUCUAGUUCCAUCCAUUUAUUAGCAAAUCCCGUAAUUUCAUUCUUCUUUAUGUCUGAGUAAUAAUAUUCCAUUGUGAAUGUAUACCACAUUUUCUUUAUCCAUUCAUCUGUUGAAGGGCACCCAAUUGGUUCCAGAGCUUAGCUAUUAUGAAGUAUGCUGCUAUAAACAUUGAUGUGGGUUCAUCACUGUUGUAUGCUGAUUUAAAGUCCUUUGGGUGUAUGCCAAGGAGUGGGAUAGUUGAGUCAAAUGUUAGUUUCAUUCCAAGUUUUCUGAGUGAUCUCCACACUGCUUUCCAGAGUGGUUGUACCAAUUUGCAGUCCCACCAGCAAUGUAUGAAUAUACCUUUUUCCCCACAUCCUGGACAACAAGUAUUGUUACUUAUAUUCUUGAUAAUUGCCAUUCUGACUGGAGUGAGAUGAAAUCUCAGUGUAGUUUUAAUUUACAUUUCUCUAAAUACUUGUGCUUUUGAACAUUUUUUCAUGUAUUUGUUGACCGAUUGUAUUUCUUCUGUGACGUGCCUGUUCAGUUCCUUAGCUCAUUUAUUUUUUAUUUUUUUUUAAUUUUUUAUUGUUGGCUGUUCAAAACAUUACAUAGUUCUUGAUAUAUCAUAUUUCACACUUUGAUUCAAGUGGGUUAUGAGCUCCCAUUUUUACCCCAUAUACAGAUUGCAGAAUCACAUCAGUUACACAUCCAUUGAUUUACAUAUUGCCAUACUAGUGUCUGUUGUGUUCUGCUGCCUUUCCUAUCCUCUACUAUCCCCCCUCCCCUCCCCUCCCCUCGCCUCUUCUCUCUCUGCCCCCUCUACUGACGUUCAUUUGUCCCCCUUGUAUUAUUUUUCCCUUUCCCCUCACUUCCUCGUGUAUGUACUUUUGUAUAACUCUGAGGGUCUCCUUCCAUUUCCAUGCAAUUUCCCUUCUCUCUCCCUUUCCCUCCCACCUCUCAUCCCUGUUUAAUGUUAAUCUUCUUCUCAUGCUCUUUGACCCUACUCUGUUCUUAGUUACUCUCCUUAUAUCAAAGAAGACAUUUGGCAUUUGUUUUUUAGGGAUUGGCUAGCUUCACUUAGCAUAAUCUGCUCUAAUGCCAUCCAUUUCCCUGUAAAUUCUAUGAUUUUGUCAUUUUUUAAUGCAGAGUAAUACUCCAUUGUGUAUAAAUGCCNGCAGAGCACAACAGACACUAGUAUGGCAAUAUGUAAAUCAAUGGAUGUGUAACUGAUGUGAUUCUGCAAUCUGUGUAUGGGGUGAAGGUGGGAGUUCAUAACCCACUUGAAUCAAAGUGUGGAAUAUGAUAUGUCAAGAAAUUUGUAAUGUUUUGAACAACCCACAAUAAAAAAUUAAAAAAAAAAAAUCAGAUGAUGGAAAAUAACUCCCAUAUUAUGGAGUAUAGUCAUUAUUACACAGACUUUAUUAUGAUAAGUAUAUACCAUAGUGUAAAAUAUGCCAAAUAAACCGUGUAUAUAUAUUUAGCAAAAAAAAAAAAAAAAAGAAAGAAACAAUAAGAGAGGUAAAUAGAGAGCCUACAUCCUGGGAACAAAUCUUUACUCCUCACACUUCAGAUAGAGCCCUAAUAUCCAGAGUAUACAAAGAACUCAAAAAAUUAGACAAUAAGAGAACAAACAACCCAAUCAACAAAUGGGCCAAGGACCUGAACAGACACUUCUCAGAGGAGGACAUACAAUCAAUCAACAAGUACAUGAAAAAAUGCUCACCAUCUUUAGCUCAUUUAUUGAUUGGGUUAUUUGAUUUUUUGUGUUAAGUUUUUGUGUUCUUUGUAUAUCCUGGAGAUUAAUGCUCUAUUUAAGGUGCAGGUGACAAAGAUUUUCUCCCGUUUUGUAGGCUCUCUGUUCACGUUCUUGAUUGUUUCCUUUGCUGUGAAAAAUCUUUUCAGUUUGAUACCAUUCCAUUUAUUUAUUCUUGCACUUUAGGAGUCUUGUUGAGGAAGUUGGUUCCUAAGCUGACAUAAUGGAGAGUUGGACCUACUUUUUCUUCUAGUAGGCUCAGGAUCUCUUGUCUGAUGCUUAGGUCCUUGAUCAACUUUGAGUUUUUUGCAGAUUUCAUUUUGUUACAUAUGGAUUUCCAGUUUUGCCAGCAUCAUUUGUUGAAGAGUCUAUCUUUUCUCCAGUGUGUGUUUAUGGCUCCUUUGUCUAGUAAGAGAUAACUGUGUUUAUGUGGGUUUGUCUUUGUGUCUUCUAUUCUGUACCAUGGGUCUGUUUUGGUGCCAAUAGCAUGCCAUUUUUAUUACCAUAGUAGAUAGAGCCUCCUUCUUAAGUGGAGUUUGAGCCUUGAGCCUUGUAGUUCUUUAGUGGUAAUUAAUUUAGUCCUAUUAACAGACCCCAGGUGUGGUGGUGGCAAGAUUUAGGGAGAAGGGGAUGUAUUCUGUAAUCCAACAACUAAAUCUUUUAGUGGGCCUUUAUCCCUGAGGUGUAAACUUUAUGAGUGUUUCUUAGCAUUUUUUUCUUCUCUUUAAUUGGGACAAGAUAACUAAUAGGUAUCAGAGUUGGGUAUAUUUUGAGAGAGGGUCUUACUGAGUUGCUUAGCGCCUCACUUUUGCUGAGGCUGGCCUUGAACUCAUGAUACUCCUGCCUCAGCCUCCAGAGCUGCUAGGAUUGCAGGCAUAUGCCACCGUGCCAGGCUAGAAUUGGGUAUUUUCUUUUCCUGCAUCCAUUAUGCUGUUGUAAAACCCAAGUUGGUUAAGUUCUUAAAAUAGUUUCCUUGAAGAUGGGCCUUUGUUUAGGAGAACAGAACAUUUUGUGUGUAUUUCAGAAUUGUUACUCCCCAUCCAUCUGCUGGAACCCUGAGGGAAUUUGUCUCUGAUUUUCAUCGGGAGAACUUGGUGAACUCAUGAAGGUGAAAAUGAAAGUAUGGGCCCCUCCAUAAUGCUGGAUCCCCAGUUUUUAUCUCUCAAGGUAGUCUGCACUCAGUCUUCAGUAAUUAGUAAAUUGUUCUUUAAGUUUUCCUACCACUACUUAUUCCAUUGGCAGUUUUUGCUUUCUGUACACUGCUAUUCUGUUUUCACCUACCUCUUUAAUUUUCAAUGUAGUUCUUUUCCCUAUGAUCUCAAUUUUCUGGUGGACCUAAACGGAAGUAGAAAACAAACAUCUUGUGCUGUAGCUCAGUGGUAGAGCACCCCUUGGUUCAAUCCUCAGUACCAUCAAAAAUAAAAAAGAUUACUUUCAAGGGCUUUACAUAUUGGACUGGAAGCCAAAAGAAAGUCUGUUCACUCCUUAAUUCUUAUCUGUUGUCACUAUUGCUUUUUAGAAACUACUCAAAGGAUUAUAACCUAAAUCAUAACCUAAAGAUUUCAAAGGUCACCAGAUUCAAUCUUUCUUUCCAUCUCUCUGAGCAUUUGACAAUAAUUGUCCUCCUGAAGAUUUUUUUUAAUUUCCUUAACCUUGGACUUUACUGGUUCAUUUAUUGCCUGCCUGAAUGCCUCCUAUCUGGUUCUUCUUUUUCUCUCCAGUUUUUUUCCUUGACCCUAUUACCUUCUCUUUGAGUCUUUAAAUUUUUAUUUUAUAAUUUUUAUCUCCUCAUUGUACUUUAGAAAUAAAACUAAUGAUCACCCUAACUCUGAAUUAGGUAGUGUUAUUAACCUUAAUUUACAGAGAAGUAAAGAAACAGACUAAGAAAUUUGCUCAAACACAUGGCCUAUGAGUUCUUGAUUAAAUUUGGGUAUUUCAAUUGUCAUUUUGGGAUUUAAAUUUUCUUGUGAAAUAUGACUAUUUUAUAUGUUACAAGUUAUAAUAAGAAUUGAAUUGAUCUUGCUUGUGCUUUUAAAAGGUCACUAUAUGUUGUGUGGAGAAUAGAUUUCAGGGGAUCCAGGUAAAGUAAAAAGACAGUUAAAAGAGCAUUGCAGUAAUCCAAAAAAGAUAAGAUUGUGUUUGGACCAGGAUAAUGGCAAUAAAGAUGAUGACAAUUGAGUGGAUUCUGGAUAUAUUUUUACUUUUUUUCACCUAAGCACCUGGGAGAACAGAAUAUCCUUAAGAAAAAAUGGGAAGGACUAUAAGAAGUAAAUUUCCUGAAAAGGGUGAAAUGGUAGUGGUGGUUAACACCAGGAAUUCAGUUUUGGACUUGCUAAAUUUCCUUUAUAGAUGUCAAGUAGGCAGGUAGGUAUAUGGUUUAGAGUUAUGUAUUAUGGAUUCAUUUUCACAUAAUGGCAUUUAAGUCAUAGCAUUGAAUGAGUUUAUUAGGCUAUGAAUAUAGAAAGAAAAGAGAAGUUUAAUGAUGAAGGCUACAGAAAAACUAAGAGGAAAACCAGGUAAAGGGAGUGUCCCACAAUCCAAGUUAAAAAAAAAAAAAGAAGGAACAGCUAGAUCAAAUGCUGCUAAUAAGUAAGAUAAGAAUAUUGAAAUGAUUAUUUGCUUUAGCGUUGAGGGUAGGUAUGGGGAGGUUUACUGUGAAUAAGAGCUUUUCUCUUGGUUUCUUCCAGAAGGAAUAGGUAAGACAGUAUAAACAGGAUUGGCUAUUUUGAAUGAUUUUAGUUGUUUUUGAGGCAUAGAGGCUAUCUAUUGGGCUGGCAAUUGACAGUGGAAUGAUUGGAACAAGUAUUGUGGUCCAGAAUGUGGGAUUUCAAAAGAGGUUGUCAGGAGUGUGGACUUGCGGUUGAUCGAUAUGUAUUUGAAAAAUCCCCUCCUAAGAGGAGGACUUCUGGGGCUGGGAGAUAUGAGGGAGGCAGGAAACCAAGGAACAGUGUAGCUUAGGCAUAUUUCCAUAUUGUCCAGAACAAGCUAUGUCUGACAUGUAGGGCACAUUUUUAAACAUCAGAUUUAUAGAAGCUAGAAACAUGGUUAAUACAGAGGUGCAAGGUUAAAGUAAGAGCAUGAUUGGAAUUCACCAUGGUUUUGGUUUUACCAGCAAGUGUUAUGACAUAAAAGAAGGGAAAAGGGGAUGAGAAUGUAAGAAAGGAAUGAUUAUAAUAAUUAACUAUCAACUAUGAUAACUUAAGAUCAAGAGAGAAGAGGUACAUAAGAGAAAAGCAUGGUAGCAUCUGGACUUAAAGAUCAUAAUAGAGUGGAAGGAUUGUUGAUGUUGUGGUUUAAGAGAGUGUUUAAACUGAAAAAAUAGGAAGUAAGCAUUGACCUUUCUAAAGACAAGGUCAAGCAUAUUGAUCAUCAGGGUAAGUGGUUGAAGUAGCAAUAUAACAUCAUUUAUGUAAGUUUUCUAAUAAGCUACGGUAGUAGAAGGAUUAGCUUUAUGGAUAUUGAAAUACUCAAUAAUUAUGGCAGGGAUAAUAUUGGAGAGAGAGCACCCAUGGAAGAAGAGAGACAGAAGUGAUGGUAUUAGAAUAUAGAUGGCCAUUGAAACCAGGUUUGGUGUAUAUAAUGAGAAAAUAGAUUGCUGAGGUUCAAGCCUGUUGUAAUAUAUGAAAGAGGAGUUUAUUAAAGGAAAAAUAGAACAUGAGGACUGGAUUUUGCAUCUUUUAUAUAUUUAUUUAUCUAUGUAUCUAUUUGUCUAUUUAUUUUGGUAGUUGGGCACAAUAAUUUUAUUUUCUUUCUUUAUUUUUAUGUAGUGUUGGGGAUUGAAACUAGUGCCUCACAUGUGCCAGGCAAGCGCUCUACCACUGAGCUACGACUCCAGCCCUGAGGACUGGACUUUGUAAAAAGGACCUUAGGGCAAAAAGUUAAGGAGAAAGAAAAAUAAGAGACUUGACGGUAGCAACAAAGGAAUGAUUCUACUGAUGUAUUGUGGAUUUUUGAAUUAGCUAGAAAUGAAGAGAAAUCUAAAAGAUUAAUUAGUAGAAAAUGGAAGAUCAGAGGUCUCAAGGAGGUUAAAGAAUAAGAAACUGGUGUCAUAGAAACCAAUUUGAGAAGUCAACUUUUCAUAAAGGGAAAUAGUCAACUGUCAGAUGCUACAAAGGUGAAGAGUGCCUUGAAUUCAACAAUUUGAAGGAAUGGAUGAUAUUAAUGAAAAAUUGGAACUAGAUAAGAGAAGCAAAAAAGUAGACAGGGUGGGACAUGAAGCUCAGUGGUAAAGUACUUGCCCAGGAUGCAUGCAGCCCUAGAUUUGAUCCCCAGCAUCACAGAAAAAAAAAGAAAAAGAGACAGUAUUAUUGACUAAUAUUUUAGAAAACUGAACUAUGAAAGGGAGAAGAGAUGUAUUAAUAGGUAGAGGAAGGCAUAGCUAAAGAAAAGAUGAGAUGAUUGAAUCAUGUUCAUGGGGAAAUAAUAUGAUUAAAAGACUUGGGAUUACUCAUGAAGAAGAGUUCCUUAGAAGAGACACAUUUCAAAACAUAGAUAAAAUAUUAGAAAUAUUAGUCUUAUAGAUUAUCAACUCUUAUUGAAUGAGGAAAAAAGAUAAGAAUAUAUUGAUGAGUUUGCAGGAAGCAGAAUUUUAAGCAGGUAGAGAAAAGAUAUGAAGGAAUUUUUACAUAAUUGAAACCCUUUUAUUUGUAUUGUCAGGAUAGUAUAGUCCUUAGAAAUGAAAUAGGGUAGGAUACUUGAACAUGUUUGAAAUAGUGUGCAAAUGGAAUUCAUUUUCACAUUAAUUUAAAAAGUAUGUAUUUAGCGCCUAUGAUAUAUUAGGCCCUAGGCUGUGUGCUAGGAACAUAGCAAUGAGUAUGACAGUUUCUACCCUAAAUGUGCCUACAUUCUAAGAAGAGUGGAAAACAAGAAACAAAAUGUCAAAUAGUGAUAACAAUGCUGUGAAGAAAAUAAAUAUGAAAACUGGAUUGAUAAUUGUCAUUUAAAGAUAUUUUAUUCUUGUUUUAUCUUUUAUGAUUAAAAAUUAAAAGUAUUAUUAAAAUGUUUUCUUUGGCAGAAUAUUUCCGUUUUAUAAGCUAAGGGAAGAUCAUCCUCAUUUUAUAGAAAACUGUAGUACAGAAUACUAGAAUGAAUAGAAAGUAGGUUCUGUUUUUAGGAAUUUACAGAGUAAAUCCUGCCGCAGUCUGGCUGGGCACAAUUCAGGAGCCACUUGUCAAAAGAAACGAACUUUAUUUUUAGAACCACACACACCAAACAAAACAGCUCCUCAGGAAAAACCUUCAGAGCCCAACUGCCAUUACUGGCUUCCCACAAGCCUCUCAACCUCCCCCACUCCUCCUGCUCUUGAGGCUGAUUGGCUGGGUUGUGUGGGCGGAGCCAAAAAAAGUCCCCCAAUGAGCAGCUCUGUGGUCUGAAAGGGCCGGGAAACAGCCCAAUGAGCAUCACUGCAGAGGAGCCAAUCAGUUGGCAGCUAGAAGUUUGCUGGGGCCGCUGUGAGCCAAUCAUCAACUGGCAGCUGGAAGUUUGCUGGCAGCUGGAAGUUUGCUGGGGCCCCUUCGGCUGUGGCUCUCAACACAAUCCAAAAGUAAAAUUCUUUCUUUCAGACACAAAUAUUUAGAUUAUAACUUUUCUUAUUAAAAAUCAUACAUUAUUUGGGGCUGGGGGCUCAGCGGUAGAGUACUUGCCUAGCAUAUGUGAGACACUGGGUUUGAUCCUCAGCAUCACAUAAAAAUAGAUAAAGGUAUUGUGUCCAACUAGAACUAAAAAAAUUUUUCAAAAAAUCAUUAUUUGUUCAGAUGGGAACAUGAUAUUCUUUCCUGUUUAAAUCUGCCUGUGUAACUGCAGAGUGUUUGUGCUUCCUGGGUGCCAGACACUUCUUAACCAUAAUACCAAAGUUAAUUCAUUUACUCAUAAGAAACUGUGAGUUAGAUACUAUUAUAAUCCCUGUUUUAUAAGUAAGAAUAUAAGACUCACAAAAGUCAGUACAGCCUUUGAAUCUUACAUCCUGUGUCAAAUCUCAACUCUUGUAAGAAUUUUUUCCCUAUUUAAGCCUCUGUGAUUUUACAUAAACUGUUAAUAGAGCACUUGGUUGCAUGCCUAUAAUCCUAGCAAUUUGGGAGGUUGAGGCAUAAGAAUGUUAAGUUGGAGGCCAGCUUCAGGAAUUUACUAAGACUCUGUCUCAAAAUUAAAAUAAAUGGACUAGGGAUCUACUCAGUAAUAAAGUACCCCCAGGGUUCCACCCUUGCACACACACACACCCCCAAAAUAAGUUAAUAGCAACUUUUUAGAGUUAUUGUGAGGAGAAAAGUCACAUAGUGUAUAUCAACUCUCUAGAACUAUGCUUAUGCAAAAUAAUCUCUCAAGCAGUUAUUUAUUUCAUGUUAUAUGGUUAGAUUAUUCAUGUUUAUAAAUGUAAGUGUACCUUUUUUGUUUGUAUUGAUUUUUCUUUUCAAUCAUGGAUCCUUGUAUUGUAUUGUCUUUUCCUGAUAUAGGAAUAAUGCCUCACUAUUACCAAGGAAGUCUAUUAGCUUUAAUGCCACAAGAAAAGCUCCAAACAAAGGAUAUAUUGGUGCAAAUCAAAGCAAAUUGACUGUAUCAAGAAACUUACUUAUUCCACCUGAAAUGAGAUCAAUAGAAAAAUUGAAUAUUCCCAACAUUAAGACAAUACAGGUAAUAUUC